CGUCCUCCCGGGUGCCGAUCCUUUCCGGGCCGCCCCGCGGAAUCUAGGAGCCCGAGGCCGUCGCGUCCCCGGCUGCGGGGCUUUCUGAGGGCUUCCCCAUCCUUUGCUGACCGCCCAGAAGAACACACCAGAAAGAAUCUCUAUGCUAGCCUGGUAGGCCACUGACUGGCACGAACUAGGCACUCCUCACACGUAAUGCUGGUUCAUUUCCGGUGCAGCUGUACUUGAGUGGGACCUCCUGCAUGUGUAAGGGAUCAUAAUAUCUACUCUACAGGGCUGUAUGAGGAUUAAAAGAAGCCACGUAUGUAACACUCUUGACACUGUGCCUGGCAGGCAGGAGGUAUCUACCUUUGCAGUUGGGAGGUGCUGUAACCAGAGCAGCUGAUAUUCAAACCUGUAUCACUAAGGUUUGUGUAAGGGCAGAAACAAAAGGUAAUAGAGGAGAAUUUCCAUUUCCACAUCCCUUUCCGUAAACCUUUGGAACAUACCUGUGUUCCCAGAAAAAGUUACUGCUGUCAGUUCCUGCUUUUGACACAGGGGUACAAAGGUCCAGGCAACAGAUUCAGGCUAGCGUAGCAGUUAAGAGUGCUGGCUCUGGAGCCAGCCCAGCUGGAUUUGACUCUGCCUUUUCUAGCCCUGGGCACAGGUUGAUGGAGAUAAACCUCACUUAGUCGGCCCCUCGGAGCAGGGUGCCCUGGGCCUGGGAGCAGCUGGGACUGCAGUUCUGGAGUUUGCCACCAGGCGGCACCAGGAGUUCUCGGUGUCCGCUGUCCUGAGGAAUUGACAUUUGGCUCUGAAUUCAGUUGCUCAGCCAUUUGGGCCCUUAAAGCCCAGAAUAAGAUUGCCUAUGAGAAUGUGGUCCUGCAAAGGGAAGCUGGGCUGAAGCAAUAGCGUGUGACAAUGCACGGAAUGCCCAAUCCAUGCCAUACCCCUGGAUGAUGGUCACUGCUUCUUU
Long non-coding RNA from Lynx canadensis (Canada lynx), 955 nucleotides. RefSeq lists it as uncharacterized. NCBI's taxonomy places the organism in Eukaryota, Metazoa, Chordata, Mammalia, Carnivora, Felidae. The record is from RefSeq and is a predicted model, not a curated record. The transcript has 3 exons.